CUUGUUCUUAUUGGCUCUGUUUAUUGAAAACCGAGGAUCUUUGCUGUAACGUGACACUUCCUACGGCUCCCAUAGGCUCUCAGAACCCGGGAAAAAGCUGAAUGAUAUCGAGGCAGCCCCUGGCUGAAAAACAUUAGCGCGUUUGGAUAGUGGCCGGUCAGAGUACUAUGAGACUCAGGCUCGUGCACGAGGGGAUCCCAUGCUUUUAUUUUCUCUCUUUGAACGUAAACACGGUUUCCCGGUCGGAAUAUUAUCGCUUUUUUACGAGAAAAAUGGCACAAAAAUUGAUUUUAAACAGCGGUUGACAUGCUUCGAAGUACAGUAAUGGAAUAUUUCGAUUUUUUUUUGUCACGAAAUGCGUCGUGCGCGUGACCCUUAUUUACACUUCGGAUAGUGUCUUGAACGCACAAACAAACCGCCACUAUUUGGAUAUAACUAUGGAUUAUUUUGAACCAAACCAACAUUUGUUAUUGAAGUAGAAGUCCUGGGACUGCAUUCUGACGAAGAACAGCAAAGGACCUGAGCCCUAGGACAGUGCCUCAGGACUACCUGACAUGAUGACUCCUUGCUGUCCACCUGGCCCUGCUGCUGCUCCAGUUUCAACUGUUCUGCCUGCGGCUAUGGAACCCUGACCUGUUCACCGGAUGUGCUACCUGUCCCAGACCUGCUGUUUUCAACUCUCUAGAGACAGCAGGAGCGGUAGAGAUCCACUCAAUGAUCGGCUAUGAAAAGCCAACUGACAUUUUACUCUUGAGGUGCUGACUUGUUACACCCUCGACAACUGUGAUUAUUAUUAUUUGACUCUGCUGGUCAUUUAUGAACAUUUGAACAUCUUGGCCAUGUUCUGUUAUAAUCUCCACCCGGCACAGCCAGAAGAGGACUGGCCACCCCUCAUAGCCUGGUUCCUCUCUAGGUUUUGGCCUUUCUAGGGAGUUUUUCCUAGCCACCGUGCUUCUACACCUGCAUUGCUUGCUGUUUGGGGUUUUAGGCUGGGUUUCUGUACAGCACUUUGAGAUAUCAGCUGAUGUAAGAAGGGCUAUAUAAAUACAUUUGAUGUGAUUUGAUUUUGUAUGGGAUGCUGCCAUGUUAACUUGAGCUAGAAACCAAAGAGGGACUCAAUUGGAAUGUUACCUGUAGGAAUAUUCCCUGUUUGUUGGGAUGUACAUUUGCUGUCUUUAUCAGCCUGUGUGUGUGUUUGUGCAUGUCUCCCUGGGCCUGUGUAUUGUUUGCAGUGCGGUGCUGGGGGCUGUCUCAUUGAACAAUAUGAUCUUGUUGCCAUCUGAUGCACAUUGAUGUCAUAAAUCAGCACUGCAGAGCUCUCCUUGUCCUAGGCCGUGCCUUUAUUGUAUUACUGUUGAUGAUAUCUGGAAAUGUGCAUGUACACCCUCGCCCAUCUACUGUUGCUAGCCCCAACUCUAACUUGUGCUCAGAUAUCUGCUUCACUGAUUUCUGCUCUAGUAAAAGCCUGGGUUUUCUGCACGUUAACACUAAAAGCUUAUUACCUAAAAUGGAUCAAUUGAAAGUGUGGGUUCACAGCUCCAAUCCAGAUCUGUUGGUCAUUACUGAGCCGUGGUUAAGGAAGAGUGUUUUGAAUACUGAUGUUAACCUUUCUGGUUAUAACCUUUCUGGUUAUAACCUUUUUCGGCAAGACAGAUCUUCCAAAGGUGGGGGAGUGGCAAUCUUUACCAAGGAUCACCUUCAGUGCUCAGAUGUCUCCAAGUCUGUCCCCAAACAAUUUGAUUUGCUGGUUUUAAGCAUUGAACUUUCAAAUAGCUCUUUGUUGACUGUUGCUGGGUGCCAUCAUCCUCCAUCAGCACCGGCCUGUACCUGUCCUUCCCUAAGCUCUCUCCUGGCCCCUUACACUAAGUCUGAAUUCGUCCUGCUAGGUGACCUAAACUGGGACAUGCUUAAACCACCUGACCAAGUCCUGAAGCAAUGGGACUCCCUAAAUCUUUCAGAUUAUUACCAAUUUCACAAGCUAUGACUCCAAACAACCAGAAAAGACUACUCUCCUCGAUGUUAUGCUCACAAAUAAUCCUUAUAGGUGUCAGUCUGGGGUUUUCUGUAUAGACCUCAGUGAUCACCGUUUUACAGCCCGUGUUUGUAAUAUCUGCGCGGGGAAACGACCAGUCCUGAUUUGUCAUAGACGCUUGAUAAACUUUUUAAAACCGCUUAAGGAUCCACCCCUUUUUCUUUUUUUUUUUUUUUAAGUUUCGUCUUAAAUGACAUACCCAAAUCUAACUGCCUGUAGCUCAGGCCCUGAAGCAAGGAUACACAUUUUUUUUUUCCUACGCAUUUUCAAUCCCAUAAAGAAAAUGAGAAUUAAAAACAGGUUCAGCCCCUGGUUUGACUGUGAUCUUGCAGAGUCACGCCACCUCAAGAAUUGCAUUUGGCAUAAGGCUCGCCACACGCAUACAGUGGUUGCUCAAAAAGUUCUGCGAUUAUGCUGCGUAACUUAGAGGUAAUUUCUGGUUUAGUAUGGUACCCUGCGUCACUACUUCAUUGCUCCAGACCAGAGCAAGGGGG
This 2526-nucleotide long non-coding RNA is filed under the name Salmo salar (Atlantic salmon). RNAcentral describes it as "lncRNA (ENSSSAG00000118298.1)". The record is from RNAcentral. Lineage: Eukaryota; Metazoa; Chordata; Actinopteri; Salmoniformes; Salmonidae.